This 497-nucleotide ribosomal RNA is filed under the name uncultured bacterium. RNAcentral describes it as "partial 16S ribosomal RNA". It matches the Rfam family "Bacterial small subunit ribosomal RNA", at positions 28 to 507 of the family's 1533-position model. The record is from RNAcentral.
GAUGAACGCUGGCGGCGUGCCUAAUACAUGCAAGUCGAGCGAACGGACGAGAAGCUUGCUUCUCUGAUGUUAGCGGCGGACGGGUGAGUAACACGUGGAUAACCUCCCUAUAAGACUGUGAUAACUUCGGGAAACCGGAGCUAAUACCGGAUGAUAUUUUGAACCGCAUGGUUCAAAAGUGAAAGACGGUCUUGCUGUCACUUAUAGAUGGAUCCGCGCUGCAUUAGCUAGUUGGUAAGGUAACGGCUUACCAAGGCAACGAUGCAUAGCCGACCUGAGAGGGUGAUCGGCCACACUGGAACUGAGACACGGUCCAGACUCCUACGGGAGGCAGCAGUAGGGAAUCUUCCGCAAUGGGCGAAAGCCUGACGGAGCAACGCCGCGUGAGUGAUGAAGGUCUUCGGAUCGUAAAACUCUGUUAUUAGGGAAGAACAUAUGUGUAAGUAACUGUGCACAUCUUGACGGUACCUAAUCAGAAAGCCACGGCUAACUACGUG